UACGUAGGGACCGAGCGUUGUCCGGAAUCAUUGGGCGUAAAGAGCGUGUAGGCGGCCUUUUAAGUCCUGCGUGAAAUCCUGCGGCUCAACCGCAGACGGUCGUGGGAAACUGGAAGGCUAGAGUGCGGGAGAGGAGAGUGGAAUUCCCGGUGUAGCGGUGAAAUGCGCAGAUAUCGGGAAGAACACCCGUGGCGAAGGCGGCUCUCUGGAACGCAACUGACGCUGAGACGCGAAAGCGUGGGGAGCGAACAGG
Molecule: ribosomal RNA, 253 nt
Filed under: uncultured bacterium
Lineage: Bacteria
Description: partial 16S ribosomal RNA
Rfam family: Bacterial small subunit ribosomal RNA
Source: RNAcentral